AGUAUCGUACGAAUAAGGAUCGGCUAACUCCGUGCCAGCAGCCGCGGUAAUACGGAGGAUUCAAGCGUUAUCCGGAUUUAUUGGGUUUAAAGGGUGCGUAGGCGGUUUGAUAAGUUAGAGGUGAAAUUUCGGGGCUCAACCCUGAACGUGCCUCUAAUACUGUUGAGCUAGAGAGUAGUUGCGGUAGGCGGAAUGUAUGGUGUAGCGGUGAAAUGCUUAGAGAUCAUACAGAACACCGAUUGCGAAGGCAGCUUACCAAACUAUAUCUGACGUUGAGGCACGAAAGCGUGGGGAGCAAACAGGAUUAGAUACCCUGGUAGUCCACGCAGUAAACGAUGAUAACUCGUUGUCGGCGAUACACAGUCGGUGACUAAGCGAAAGCGAUAAGUCAUCCACCUGGGGA
Molecule: ribosomal RNA, 403 nt
Filed under: uncultured bacterium
Lineage: Bacteria
Description: bacterial SSU rRNA
Rfam family: Bacterial small subunit ribosomal RNA
Source: RNAcentral